ACAGGUCUCCGUAGGUGAACCUGCGGAGGGAUCAUUACAAGAACGCCCGGGCUUCGGCCUGGUUAUUCAUAACCCUUUGUUGUCCGACUCUGUUGCCUCCGGGGCGACCCUGCCUUCGGGCGGGGGCUCCGGGUGGACACUUCAAACUCUUGCGUAACUUUGCAGUCUGAGUAAACUUAAUUAAUAAGUUAAAACUUUUAACAACGGAUCUCUUGGUUCUGGCAUCGAUGAAGAACGCAGCGAAAUGCGAUAAGUAAUGUGAAUUGCAGAAUUCAGUGAAUCAUCGAAUCUUUGAACGCACAUUGCGCCCCCUGGUAUUCCGGGGGGCAUGCCUGUUCGGGCGUCAUUUCACCACUCAAGCCUCGCUUGGUAUUGGGCAACGCGGUCCGCCGCGUGCCUCAAAUCGUCCGGCUGGGUCUUCUGUCCCCUAAGCGUUGUGGAAACUAUUCGCUAAAGGGUGUUCGGGAGGCUACGCCGUAAAACAACCCCNUUUCUAAGGUUGACCUCNGAUCANGUAGGGAUACCCGCUGAACUU
This 535-nucleotide ribosomal RNA is filed under the name uncultured fungus. Its description in RNAcentral is "eukaryotic LSU rRNA". The stretch from base 193 to 346 matches the Rfam family "5.8S ribosomal RNA". Lineage: Eukaryota; Fungi. The record is from RNAcentral.